CCUACGGGCGGCAGCAGUGAGGAAUAUUGGUCAAUGGGCGAGAGCCUGAACCAGCCAAGUAGCGUGAAGGAUGACUGCCCUACGGGUUGUAAACUUCUUUUAUAAAGGAAUAAAGUGAGGCACGUGUGACUCUUUGAGUGUACUUUAUGAAUAAGGAUCGGCUAACUCCGUGCCAGCAGCCGCGGUAAUACGGAGGAUCCGAGCGUUAUCCGGAUUUAUUGGGGUUACAGGGAGCGUAGGUGGGGUGGUAAGUCAGUUGUGAAAGUUUGCGGCUCAACCGUAAAAUUGCAAUUGAUACUGGCAGUCUUGAGUACGGGUGAGGUAGGCGGAAUUUGUGGUGUAGCGGUGAAAUGCUUAGAUAUCACGAAGAACUCCGAUUGCGAAGGCAGCUUACUAACCUGCCACUGACGUUGAUGCUCGAAAGUGUGGGUAUCAAACAGGAUUAGAUACCCUUGUAGUC
Molecule: ribosomal RNA, 460 nt
Filed under: uncultured bacterium
Lineage: Bacteria
Description: partial 16S ribosomal RNA
Rfam family: Bacterial small subunit ribosomal RNA
Source: RNAcentral